This 468-nucleotide ribosomal RNA is filed under the name uncultured bacterium. RNAcentral describes it as "partial 16S ribosomal RNA". It matches the Rfam family "Bacterial small subunit ribosomal RNA", at positions 28 to 507 of the family's 1533-position model. The record is from RNAcentral.
GACGAACGCUGGCGGCGUGCUUAACACAUGCAAGUCGAACGGAAAGGCACUGCUUUUGUGGGGUGCUCGAGUGGCGAACGGGUGAGUAACACGUGAGUAACCUGCCCUUGACUUUGGGAUAACUUCAGGGAACUGGGGCUAAUACCGGAUAGGAGCUCCUGCUGCAUGGUGGGGGUUGGAAAGUUUCGGCGGUUGGGGUUGGACUCGCGGCUUAUCAGCUUGUUGGUGGGGUAGUGGCUUACCAAGGCUUUGACGGGUAGCCGGCCUGAGAGGGUGACCGGCCACAUUGGGACUGAGAUACGGCCCAGACUCCUACGGGAGGCAGCAGUGGGGAAUAUUGCACAAUGGGCGGAAGCCUGAUGCAGCAACGCCGCGUUCGGGAUGACGGCCUUCGGGUUGUAAACCGCUUUCGCCUGUGACGAAGCGUGAGUGACGGUAAUGGGUAAAGAAGCACCGGCUAACUACGUG